CAAUGGGAGUGCGAAUCUCGAAAGCCUGUCUCAGUUCGGAUUGGAGGCUGAAACCCGCCUCCAUGAAGUUGGAUUCGCUAGUAAUCGCGCAUCAGCCAUGGCGCGGUGAAUACGUUCCCGGGCCUUGUACACACCGCCCGUCAAGCCAUGGGAGCCGGGGGGUGCCUGAAGUUCGUGACCGCAAGGAGCGACCUAGGGCAAAACUGGUGACUGGGGCUAAGUCGUAACAAGGUAGC
RNAcentral lists this ribosomal RNA (236 nucleotides) under uncultured bacterium. RNAcentral describes it as "partial 16S ribosomal RNA". It matches the Rfam family "Bacterial small subunit ribosomal RNA", at positions 1257 to 1500 of the family's 1533-position model. The record is from RNAcentral.